This 1371-nucleotide ribosomal RNA is filed under the name uncultured Klebsiella sp. Its description in RNAcentral is "bacterial SSU rRNA". It matches the Rfam family "Bacterial small subunit ribosomal RNA", at positions 1 to 1367 of the family's 1533-position model. The record is from RNAcentral. Lineage: Bacteria; Pseudomonadati; Pseudomonadota; Gammaproteobacteria; Enterobacterales; Enterobacteriaceae.
AUAAUAAUUACCUCGGCUAAAUAACAACUAGGCAAAUAAGGAAGAUCCGCGAAAUAUUAUAUUGUGGGUAAUAAUAAGCGGAGACAGAGUAACGUAAUUUCUAGGAAAAACACCGAAAAGGAGAGGGAUGCAAUAACAGGGAACGGUUUAGUAAUACCACAUAAUGUUCGAUAGACCAAAAGUGAGGGACCUUUAGGACCUCCAACCAUACAGAUUGGCCACAUAUGGGUUUAAUAUAGUUGGUGGGGAAAAAGGCUCACCUUAGAGGGAGAUUCCCUAGAUGGUUUAGGAAGGAUGACCCGACCCCAAUGGAAAUUGAGACACGGUCCCAGAAUUCUUACGUGAGGCCAGCAGUGGGGAAUAUUGCCCAAUGGGCGCAAGCCUGAUGCAGCCAUGCCGCGUGUGUGAAGAAGGCCUUCGGGUUGUAAAGCACUUUCAGCGGGGAGGAAGGCGUUAAGGUUAAUAACCUUGUCGAUUGACGUUACCCGCAGAAGAAGCACCGGCUAACUCCGUGCCAGCAGCCGCGGUAAUACGGAGGGUGCAAGCGUUAAUCGGAAUUACUGGGCGUAAAGCGCACGCAGGUGGUCUGUCAAGUCGGAUGUGAAAUCCCCGGGCUCAACCUGGGAACUGCAUUCGAAACUGGCAGGCUAGAGUCUUGUAGAGGGGGGUAGAAUUCCAGGUGUAGCGGUGAAAUGCGUAGAGAUCUGGAGGAAUACCGGUGGCGAAGGCGGCCCCCUGGACAAAGACUGACGCUCAGGUGCGAAAGCGUGGGGAGCAAACAGGAUUAGAUACCCUGGUAGUCCACGCCGUAAACGAUGUCGAUUUGGAGGUUGUGCCCUUGAGGCGUGGCUUCCGGAGCUAACGCGUUAAAUCGACCGCCUGGGGAGUACGGCCGCAAGGUUAAAACUCAAAUGAAUUGACGGGGGCCCGCACAAGCGGUGGAGCAUGUGGUUUAAUUCGAUGCAACGCGAAGAACCUUACCUGGUCUUGACAUCCACAGAACUUUCCAGAGAUGGAUUGGUGCCUUCGGGAACUGUGAGACAGGUGCUGCAUGGCUGUCGUCAGCUCGUGUUGUGAAAUGUUGGGUUAAGUCCCGCAACGAGCGCAACCCUUAUCCUUUGUUGCCAGCGGUCCGGCCGGGAACUCAAAGGAGACUGCCAGUGAUAAACUGGAGGAAGGUGGGGAUGACGUCAAGUCAUCAUGGCCCUUACGACCAGGGCUACACACGUGCUACAAUGGCAUAUACAAAGAGAAGCGACCUCGCGAGAGCAAGCGGACCUCAUAAAGUAUGUCGUAGUCCGGAUUGGAGUCUGCAACUCGACUCCAUGAAGUCGGAAUCGCUAGUAUCGUAGAUCAAAUGUAAAUGGGGGU